GAAUAACGGAGGAAGGUUUAGGAUUUAGUCUUUUGAAGGUGGAUUUGAAAGUAAUUGUUUUAUAAGGUAAUUAGGUGAAUUGUGCAACAACAUGUGUACAUAUUGCCCGUCGCUCUCAUUUAUUGAGAUAAGUCGUAACAUAGUUGAUGCACUGGAAAGUGUAUCUUUUGU
This 171-nucleotide ribosomal RNA is filed under the name Boraria infesta. Its description in RNAcentral is "partial small subunit ribosomal RNA". The record is from RNAcentral. Lineage: Eukaryota; Metazoa; Arthropoda; Diplopoda; Polydesmida; Xystodesmidae.